AAAAUUAGUAAAGUCUAAGCCCUAUACAUGCCAUAUUCAAAAAUAUAAAUCAAACUAUACCGAAAACUUUGAUUGAUAGUGUGAUCGAUAUCUCUGACUUCCUUUGGUCCUUGAGCUAGAUAGGCGGCACUAUAAGAAAAUGAAAAAAGAGAAGGAGUAAGCAUAAAGCUUAGUAAGUUGCACAUAAAUAAGUAUACAACAUAACUUUAUCAUCCAUCAACAAGCAUCAUAAUACACAAGUGGCAUAAGCAAAACUUACUCAUCAAUAUUCAAUACACCUCAUAUAGCAUAUAUUGAGCUCACAUUUCAUACAUAUCAUAUAGGUGCCUGUACCACUCACAACACGGUUAUACUUUCCUUGGUAACUUGAAAUCAUACUUUCACCAUUGAACCAUUUGGGACAUUAUCGGAUACUCAUUUAGCCUCAAACAUGGGUGCAGGUGCCGAUGCCAUGUCCCAGACAUGGUCUUACACUGACACAUCUCGUAGCUGAUGCAUGUCCCAGACAUGUCUUACACUAGCACUCGUCUUAAUACCGAUGCCAUAUCCCAGACAUGGUCUUACAUUGGCUCCCAUAAUGUGGCCGAUGCAUGUCCCAGACAUGUCUUACACUAGCUCACACAAGUGACCCAAACAUCAUGGCAUGAGUAUCCGAUUUAUUUCCUAAGGUUCAUUUGAGAAUUCUACUAUCUCUAUUCUCAUCAUAUUCUCUUAUUUCCAUAAUCAAAAAAUUCAUACUACAAUAAUUUAAAUGCAAUUCGAAUGUAUAUAUUAUCAAUACAGUUGUAUUAUUUACAUACAACUUACCUCGGAUUACAAAAUGUGGCGACUAGUCAAUUUAGUCGCUUUGCUUGGCUUUCCCUCGGUCUAGGUUCAGAUUCGGUAUUUCUUGAUCUAUAAUAAAAAAAUGUAAUUAUUUAGUGACUUUAUCAAUCUAGGCACUCUACAAUUCAUAAUUGGGUAAAAUGACCAAUUCGCCCCUAGACUUUUGCAAAAUGACCAUUUUACCCCUAAGCCCAAAAAUCAAUUUUUAUCGAAUUUCUUCACAUCUUAAGCGUAGAUGAACCCUUUUUAAUCUUAUAGCAACUUCAAAUUUCCACUAUUUCACAUACUUAACAUCUAUUUUAUAACUUAUGCAAUAUAGUCCUUUUAGGUGUUUUCAUGCUAGCACCUUUCACAAAAAUUGUUCAUAAUACACCCAAGACUUAUUUUCUUCCAUAAAAACUCAGAAAAAAUUACAAAUCCUUUCAUGGCAAAACCCUACGCUCUUAAUCAUUUUGCAAAAUAGUACCCUCAUUUGAAAGCUCAUACUUCAAGGGUCUCAAAAGUACAAAAAUAUUCAACAAAGGGUUGGAAAAUCACUUACUUGUGAAGGCUUAAAGUUGCUGAAAUUUUUAAG
RNAcentral lists this long non-coding RNA (1399 nucleotides) under Gossypium barbadense (sea-island cotton). RNAcentral's name for it is "long non-coding RNA (GBAR_LNC011410)". Lineage: Eukaryota; Viridiplantae; Streptophyta; Magnoliopsida; Malvales; Malvaceae. The record is from RNAcentral.